UCCCUAGUAGCUCAGAUGGUAAAGCAUUUGCCCGCCAUGCAGGAGACCCAGGUUCAAUACCUGGGUCGGGAA
Molecule: transfer RNA, 72 nt
Filed under: Ovis aries (sheep)
Lineage: Eukaryota; Metazoa; Chordata; Mammalia; Artiodactyla; Bovidae
Rfam family: tRNA
About the family: Transfer RNA (tRNA) molecules are approximately 80 nucleotides in length. Their secondary structure includes four short double-helical elements and three loops (D, anti-codon, and T loops).
Source: Rfam by way of RNAcentral